Molecule: non-coding RNA, 71 nt
Organism: Deltaproteobacteria bacterium
Lineage: Bacteria; Pseudomonadati; Myxococcota; Myxococcia
Source: Rfam
UGGGGCGUCGACAAGUGGUAAGUCAGCAGCCUUUGGAGCUGCCAUCCUUGGUUCGAAUCCAAGCGCCCCAA